GACGAACGCUGGCGGCGUGCUUAACACAUGCAAGUCGAACGGGCUGAAGUGAUAGCUUGCUAUUAUGGAUGCUAGUGGCAAACGGGUGAGUAACGCGUAGGCAACCUGCCCUUCAGAUGGGGACAACACUUCGAAAGAGGUGCUAAUACCGAAUGACGUAUCCAUUCCGCAUGGAGAGGAUACCAAAGGCCGGGCAACCGGUCACUGAAGGAUGGGCCUGCGUCUGAUUAGCUAGUUGAGGGGUAACGGCCCACCAAAGCGACGAUCAGUAGCCGACCUGAGAGGGUGACCGGCCACAUUGGGACUGAGAAACGGCCCAAACUCCUACGGGAGGCAGCAGUGGGGAAUAUUGGGCAAUGGGCGAAAGCCUGACCCAGCAACGCCGCGUGAAGGAAGAAGGUCUUCGGAUUGUAAACUUCUUUUAUCAGGGACGAAGGAAGUGACGGUACCUGAUGAAUAAGCCACGGCUAACUACGUG
RNAcentral lists this ribosomal RNA (478 nucleotides) under uncultured bacterium. RNAcentral's name for it is "bacterial SSU rRNA". It matches the Rfam family "Bacterial small subunit ribosomal RNA", at positions 28 to 507 of the family's 1533-position model. The record is from RNAcentral.